This is a long non-coding RNA of Pipra filicauda (Wire-tailed manakin), 1019 nucleotides long. RefSeq lists it as uncharacterized. Lineage: Eukaryota; Metazoa; Chordata; Aves; Passeriformes; Pipridae. The record is from RefSeq and is a predicted model, not a curated record. The transcript has 2 exons.
GCCACCGAUGGACUCUGCCUCCCUGGGCACGUCCCCACGCCCCUGCCCCAGCUCCUCUGCCCAGAGACACGCUGCCACCCCUCCUCUGUGCCUGCUGUCCCCGCCCGGAAGGGUUCACCCCCUCGCACCCGUGGUACCUGUGCAGGUGGCGGUGGUGACGGUGGUGACAGUGGCGGUGGCCUCUCCAGCAACCACGGGGGCUGCCGGCGUUUCUAUGACAACGGGGACGAUCUCGAUGGCGACGUCCCCGUCGGGCCCACGCAGGAUCUGCACCAGCCCCUUCUCCUCCAGCUCCGCCAGCCGCCGCUCCAGCGCCAGUCGGUAGCACUCCUGUGGCCGCGGGGACGGCGGGCUGGGCGGCCGCGGGGGGCUCAGCUGCUCCUGGAGAGGUGACAACCCCCAGGACCAGUGUCACCAGUGUCCCACUCAAACCUCAAACCCACAGCCCUCCCUCCGGCGCCGCGGCGCCCGUGGGUGCUCACCCGCAGCACCUCCAGCUCCCGCCGUGCCUGGCUCAGCUGCUUCUCCAGCUCCGCUAUCUUGGCCAUGGAGUCGUUCUCUGCAUCCUGCAGCUUCUCCGUCAGCUGUGGGGGACGAGGCGCCGCCGGCUCAGCCCCGUCCCCGUCCCUCCCUCGGGGCUCUGCGUCAGCGGCUCCUGCCCACGCGCCCGCGGCCCACCUGGCUGACGAGCUCCUGCAGCUCCUCCAUGUGCUCCAGCACCGCCGUCUUGGUCUCCGAGUCCUCCAGCAUGGCCCCCACGUCGAAGACGUUGUCCAGUAUUGCCUCUUGAUGUGCAAAGGGAGAAGAAUCCUCACUGCUCCAAGCAGGAGCAUCUGAGCAUCCCCAUCCCAGCAGCAAAGAUGCUCUUCCUCCGCUCCAUCCCAAAAAGCUACCUCGGCACAUCUCAAACCACUUGGCACAGGACAACCCUCCCAUCACUCUGCCAAAGUGACAUCUGCCACAGUGCCCCAGAUGGGAAGGAGCCAACUUUUGGGGAAUAAAGUUCUGGGAAAACUAAA